UGUCUUCGUGCACUACAUCUCCGAUCUU
This 28-nucleotide small RNA is filed under the name Bombyx mori (domestic silkworm). RNAcentral's name for it is "ovarian small RNA-35848". The record is from RNAcentral. Lineage: Eukaryota; Metazoa; Arthropoda; Insecta; Lepidoptera; Bombycidae.